This 250-nucleotide ribosomal RNA is filed under the name Entrophospora sp. RNAcentral's name for it is "partial large subunit ribosomal RNA". Lineage: Eukaryota; Fungi; Glomeromycota; Glomeromycetes; Entrophosporales; Entrophosporaceae. The record is from RNAcentral.
UGGCGGCCGCGGGAUUCGAUUUUGAAAGGGAAACGAUUGAAGUCAGUCUUGAUGGCGCGAAAUCAACCCUCUCGUCUGGAGAGACAUGUUGUGGCGGGCCUCAAAACCUCCACAGCAUGGAUUUCCCGAUGAGGGGGAGUACUUUCGUGUCCGCUGGUUAACAUCAAUUUCGAACGUCAUAAAAAGGCUGGAGGGAUGUGGCUCCUUCGGGAGUGUUAUAACCUUUAGCGGAAUGUGGUGGUCGGGAUUG